GACGAACGCUGGCGGCGUGCUUAACACAUGCAAGUCGAACGGAAAGGCCCUGCUUUUGUGGGGUGCUCGAGUGGCGAACGGGUGAGUAACACGUGAGUAACCUGCCCUUGACUUUGGGAUAACUUCAGGAAACUGGGGCUAAUACCGGAUAGGAGCUCCUGCUGCAUGGUGGGGGUUGGAAAGUUUCGGCGGUUGGGGAUGGACUCGCGGCUUAUCAGCUUGUUGGUGGGGUAGUGGCUUACCAAGGCUUUGACGGGUAGCCGGCCUGAGAGGGUGACCGGCCACAUUGGGACUGAGAUACGGCCCAAACUCCUACGGGAGGCAGCAGGGGGGAAUAAUGCACAAUGGGCGGAAGCCUGAUGCAGCAACGCCGCGUGCGGGAUGACGGCCUUCGGGUUGUAAACCGCUUUCGCCUGUGACGAAGCGUGAGUGACGGUAAUGGGUAAAGAAGCACCGGCUAACUACGUG
This 468-nucleotide ribosomal RNA is filed under the name uncultured bacterium. RNAcentral describes it as "partial 16S ribosomal RNA". It matches the Rfam family "Bacterial small subunit ribosomal RNA", at positions 28 to 507 of the family's 1533-position model. The record is from RNAcentral.